This 468-nucleotide ribosomal RNA is filed under the name uncultured bacterium. Its description in RNAcentral is "partial 16S ribosomal RNA". It matches the Rfam family "Bacterial small subunit ribosomal RNA", at positions 28 to 507 of the family's 1533-position model. The record is from RNAcentral.
GACGAACGCUGGCGGCGUGCUUAACACAUGCAAGUCGAGCGGAAAGGUCCUGCUUUUGUGGGGUGCUCGAGUGGCGAACGGGUGAGUAACACGUGAGUAACCUGCCCUUGACUUUGGGAUAACUUCAGGAAACUGGGGCUAAUAUCGGAUAGGAGCUCCUGCUGCAUGGUGGGGGUUGGAAAGUUUCGGCGGUUGGGGAUGGACUCGCGGCUUAUCGGCUUGUUGGUGGGGUAGUGGCUUACCAAGGCUUUGACGGGUAGCCGGCCUGAGAGGGUUACCGGCCACAAUGGGACUGAGAGACGGCCCAGACUCCUACGGGAGGCAGCGGUGGGAAAUAUUGCACAAUAGGCGGGAGCCUGAUGCAGCAACGCCGCGUGCGGGAUGACGGCCUUCGGGUUGUAAACCGCUUUCGCCGGUGACGAAGCGUGAGUGACGGUAAUGGGUAAAGAAGCACCGGCUAACUACGUG